Long non-coding RNA from Perognathus longimembris pacificus (Pacific pocket mouse), 964 nucleotides. RefSeq lists it as uncharacterized. The transcript is spliced from 2 exons. Lineage: Eukaryota; Metazoa; Chordata; Mammalia; Rodentia; Heteromyidae. The record is from RefSeq and is a predicted model, not a curated record.
UUCUGGCUUUUUGGUGUUUAAUUGGAGAUAAGAGUCUCACAGACUUUCCUUCUGGGCUGGCUCUUAACCUUGAUCCUCAGGUCUCAGUCUCCUAAGUAACUAGGAUUAUAGGUGUGAGCCAUGAGCACCUAGUGAAGGUACUAUUUUUGACUAGUAUCAAAAAUAUAAUUAGCAUAAAAAAUAGUGGCUUACCUAUUUUUGUCAAGAUCACUCUGCACCAAGUCCCUGUCUCUGUACAGCAUUUAUUUCUUUUGCCAUAUACCUAACGCAUACUAGGUAUUAUACGUUCUACAUUUGGAAAACUUAAGAUUAGCUAUGUAAGAAAAGGUGAACCACUCAUCCAUGAAGCUUUCAUUCUAUUGAGGACACUAAUAUAAACAUAGGCAGUAAAAAAUAUAUAGGCAUAGCAUGAAAAAAGAGUGCAAUUAAAUAUAGAACAUUACAAGGAUGAGGAUUUGAGGGGAAAUAGGGUCCCACUUAGGCAAAACGCACAGGGGAGGCAGCUCUGCUGCGGUGAAGGGAGGAGGGUCUCAGGUGAGGUUACACUGUGAAGGUGAACCACAGUUGCAUUUAGCAUGGAUUAUAAGAGGAGAGAAAACACGGUCUGCUCAGUGAGGGGAGAGGAGCUACAAAUACCCCAAUCAUAACAGACAACUCAUAAAUGUUGAUUAGAUAAACAAUAAUAUAUAAAAAUAAAUUUGUGAUAGGAUCUAUUAAAACAAACACACCCUGAUUUAUAGGCAAAUUUCAAAGUAUCAAGUACAUCCUCUUUAACAGCAGCUAAAUAUUACGUUUCAAAUCUUCCUUUGUUGUCAUUCUUACAGUCAUUAACAAAUAUCAUUUUAAUAGGAUCAAAUGCUUAGGUUUGACAAGAGAUAACUAAAGUUAUUUUUUAAUUAAUAUGUCACCAUUUCUGUGAAUUGCUAACAAUAUCUCAAACAAGACUGCCAAACAGAUCUGUGCC